Molecule: transfer RNA, 75 nt
Filed under: Nocardioides aquaticus
Lineage: Bacteria; Bacillati; Actinomycetota; Actinomycetes; Propionibacteriales; Nocardioidaceae
Description: tRNA-Leu
Rfam family: tRNA
About the family: Transfer RNA (tRNA) molecules are approximately 80 nucleotides in length.
Source: RNAcentral
GCCCCCGUGCCCCAACCGGCAGAGGGAACCGCCUUAAAAGCGGUCAGUUCUGGGUUCGAGUCCCAGCGGGGGCAC